AUACGUAGGGAGCGAGCGUUGUCCGGAAUUACUGGGUGUAAAGGGAGCGUAGGCGGGAUGGCAAGUCAGAUGUGAAAACUAUGGGCUCAACCCAUAGACUGCAUUUGAAACUGUUGUUCUUGAGUGAAGUAGAGGUAAGCGGAAUUCCUGGUGUAGCGGUGAAAUGCGUAGAUAUCAGGAGGAACAUCGGUGGCGAAGGCGGCUUACUGGGCUUUUACUGACGCUGAGGCUCGAAAGCGUGGGGAGCAAACAGGAUUAGAUACCCUGGUAGUCCACGCUGUAAACGAUGAUUACUAGGUGUGGGGGGACUGACCCCUUCCGUGCCGCAGCAAACGCAAUAAGUGAUCCACCUGGGGAGUACGUUCGCAAGAAUGAAACUCAAAUGAAUUGACGGGG
RNAcentral lists this ribosomal RNA (396 nucleotides) under uncultured bacterium. RNAcentral's name for it is "partial 16S ribosomal RNA". It matches the Rfam family "Bacterial small subunit ribosomal RNA", at positions 523 to 918 of the family's 1533-position model. The record is from RNAcentral.